CGAGUUCCCAUAAGAUCACCGAAGUUAAGCAACGUCGAGUCUGGUCAAUACCUAGAUGGGUAACCGCUUGAGAAUACCAGGUGAUGUAAG
Non-coding RNA from Acanthosepion pharaonis, 90 nucleotides. Lineage: Eukaryota; Metazoa; Mollusca; Cephalopoda; Sepiida; Sepiidae. The record is from the annotation of a GenBank genome assembly.